RNAcentral lists this ribosomal RNA (398 nucleotides) under Chloroparva pannonica. RNAcentral describes it as "partial small subunit ribosomal RNA". It matches the Rfam family "Eukaryotic small subunit ribosomal RNA", at positions 30 to 432 of the family's 1831-position model. The record is from RNAcentral. Lineage: Eukaryota; Viridiplantae; Chlorophyta; Trebouxiophyceae; Chlorellales; Chlorellaceae.
GCUUGUCUCAAAGAUUAAGCCAUGCAUGUCUAAGUAUAAGUAUUAUACAGCGAAACUGCGAAUGGCUCAUUAAAACAGUUAUAGUUUACAUGAUAAUCGAAUUUACAUGGAUAACCGUAGUAAUUCUAGAGCUAAUACGUGCGUAAAUCCCGACUUCUGGAAGGGACGUAUUUAUUAGAUAAAAGGCCGACCGGGCUCUGCCCGACUCGCGGUGAAUCAUGAUAACUUCACGAAUCGCACGGCCUCGUGCCGGCGAUGUUUCAUUCAAAUUUCUGCCCUAUCAACUUUUGAUGGUAGGAUAGAGGCCUACCAUGGUGGUAACGGGUGACGGAGGAUUAGGGUUCGAUUCCGGAGAGGGAGCCUGAGAAACGGCUACCACAUCCAAGGAAGGCAGCAGG